Molecule: transfer RNA, 56 nt
Filed under: Strongyloides venezuelensis
Lineage: Eukaryota; Metazoa; Nematoda; Chromadorea; Rhabditida; Strongyloididae
Description: tRNA-Asp
Source: RNAcentral
UAUAUAUAUGAAAUAUAUAUAUAGGUUGGAGAAUGAAAAGAAUAAAAUUAUGAUUU